Molecule: transfer RNA, 83 nt
Filed under: bacterium
Lineage: Bacteria
Description: tRNA-Leu
Rfam family: tRNA
About the family: Transfer RNA (tRNA) molecules are approximately 80 nucleotides in length. Their secondary structure includes four short double-helical elements and three loops (D, anti-codon, and T loops). Further hydrogen bonds mediate the characteristic L-shaped molecular structure. tRNAs have two regions of fundamental functional importance: the anti-codon, which is responsible for specific mRNA codon recognition, and the 3' end, to which the tRNAs corresponding amino acid is attached (by aminoacyl-tRNA synthetases). tRNAs cope with the degeneracy of the genetic code in two manners: having more than one tRNA (with a specific anti-codon) for a particular amino acid; and 'wobble' base-pairing, i.e. permitting non-standard base-pairing at the 3rd anti-codon position.
Source: RNAcentral
GCCAUCUUUCCCUAGUCCGGUCAACGGGGACGGUCUUAAGCACCGUUGCGCAAGCUUCAGCGGUUCAAAUCCGCUAGAUGGCA